Molecule: ribosomal RNA, 468 nt
Filed under: uncultured bacterium
Lineage: Bacteria
Description: partial 16S ribosomal RNA
Rfam family: Bacterial small subunit ribosomal RNA
Source: RNAcentral
GACGAACGCUGGCGGCGUGCUUAACACAUGCAAGUCAAACGGAAAGGCCCUGCUUUUGUGGGGUGCUCGAGUGGCGAACGGGUGAGUAACACGUGAGUAACCUGCCCUUGACUUUGGGAUAACUUCAGGAAACUGGGACUAAUACCGGAUAGGAGCUCCUGCUGCAUGGUGGGGGUUGGAAAGUUUCGGCGGUUGGGGAUGGACUCGCGGCUUAUCAGCUUGUUGGUGGGGUAGUGGCUUACCAAGGCUUUGACGGGUAGCCGGCCUGAGAGGGUGACCGGCCACAUUGGGACUGAGAUACGGCCCAGACUCCUACGGGAGGCAGCAGUGGGGAAUAUUGCACAGUGGGCGGAAGCCUGAUGCAGCAACGCCGCGUGCGGGAUGACGGCCUUCGGGUUGUAAACCGCUUUCGCCUGUGACGAAGCGUGAGUGACGGUAAUGGGUAAAGAAGCACCGGCUAACUACGUG